Bos taurus (domestic cattle) is the source of this 5877-nucleotide long non-coding RNA. The record is from Ensembl. Lineage: Eukaryota; Metazoa; Chordata; Mammalia; Artiodactyla; Bovidae.
UUUAAUAAAUAUACAUGAAAGCUAUUUUAUAAGUCAUAAAAAAGUGAGAGUGAAUCUGCUAAAUUCUUUUGAAAUGCUGCAGAUUUGAUAAAUAUUUGAGACUCUAGGCAAAUUGGUUUUAGGCAAAUUAACCUGAUAACCUUCGAUCCUUAGUCUUCAUUCUAUGCCACUUAGUUUCAUAUUGGAAAUAACUCACAUUUAGGGAUGAUUCUAAUGACUUUGCCAGCCAACCUGGGAAUUGCAUAAUAGAUGCCUCUGAGCAAGUGGAAGAGAUUCACACCAGAGUGCCAGAAAGGGAGGAAACACACUUUGUUUUUGGUGGGAUAAAUGUUCUGAAAUUACUUGUUCUACAGCUGGGAUUGAGCCUCCGUGGUGGCUCAGAUGGUAAAGAAUCCACUUGUAAUGUGGGUCGAGACCUAGGUUUGAUCCCUGUUGGGAAGAUCCCCUGGAGGAGGGCAUGGCAACUCUCUCCAGUAUUGCCUGGAGAAUUCCACGGACAGAGGAACCUGGCGGGCUACACAGUCCAUGGGGUCGCAGAGAGUCAGACACAACUAAGCGACUAAGCGCACAGCACAGCACAGCUGGAAUUGCUUCUUCCGAACUAUUGUUAUUAAAUAAGAAUACAAAGAUUCUGUGACCGGGAAAAUUUCUCAUCAGGGUACUCCAGGCCUGGGAAAUCCAGACAAGCAUGUGUAGCCUUACCUCCAUCCCUUCAGUUUUUUUUUUUUUUUUUUUUCUUUUUUAAUUGGAGGAUAAUUGCUUUACAAUAUUGUGUUGGUUUCUGCCAUACAUCAAUACGAAUCAGCCAUAGGUAUAAUACAUCCGCCCCUUCCUUGAACCUCCCUCCCACCUCUCACCCCAUCCCACCCCUCUAGGUUGUCACAGAGCACCAGGUUUGAACUCCUUCAGUUCAUUUACUCUUGGGAAUCUUGACCUCCAUCACUGACUGGCUGAUUCCUUUCCAGGUCUGUACUUAUAUGUCCUACCCCUGUUUGUGGGGUAGGAUUCUGUCUUUGCCACAGGGGCCACUUUCUCCCUCCUUUCUGAGGAAAAACAAGUGGUAAGGUCUGAUGAAGACGGGCCCAGGGAAGGCAGACCAUGGCAUAAGAGCAGCUCCGGCCGUCCGAUGGCAUCACAGAAGGACCCAUACCCCAGAGCUGACCUAGGGGCAUUCAGAAGCCUAAAGGCGAGACACUACAAGAAGGACAAGAGUAUAACCAAUCUCAGUUCUCUCCAUCUCCUCCUCCCUUGCAGCAAGGAAGACCUAAGACUGAGCCUCUGCUGUGCCAACUGCUUGUGUAGGGCCCUUGGUAUCCACACUUGGCUCUGGUUGGGAAGGAGGUCCUAAGGUUUGACCUGGGAAAUCUGAGCAGACUGUUCCUGGGAUACAUAGAUUCAGUUCAGUUCAGUUCAAUCACUUAGUCAUGUCCCACUCUUCAUGACCCCAUGGACCACAGCACGGUAGGCUCCCCUGUCCAUCCCCAACUCUCAGAGCUUGCUCAAACUCAUGUCCGUCGAGUCCGUGAUGCCAUCCAACUAUCUCAUCCUCUGUCAUCCUCUUUCUUCCUUCAGUCUUUCCCAGCGUCAGGGUCUUUUCUAAUGUGAAGUCAGCUCUUCACAUCAGGUGUCCAAAAAAAGUAUUGGAGCUUCAGCUUCAGCAUCAGCAUCAGUCCUUCCAAUGAAUAUUCAGGAUUGACUUCCUUUAGAAUUGAUUGAUUUGAUCUCCUUGCAGUCUGAGGGACUCUCAAGAGUCUUCUCCAACACCACAGUUCAAAAGCAUCAAUUCUUCAGUGCUCAGCCUUCUUUAUGGUCCAGCUCUCACAUCCAUACAUGACUACUGGAAAAAUCACAGCUUUGACUAGACGGACUUUUGUUGGCAAGCUUUUUAAUAUGCUGUCUAGGUUGGUCAUAGCUUUUCUUUCAAGGAGCAAGUAUCUUUUAAUUUCAUGGCUGCAGUCAACAUCAGCAGUGAUUUUGGAGCCCAAGAAAAUAAAAUCUCUCACUGUUUCCAUUGUUUCCCCAUCUAUUUGCCAUGAAGCGAUGGGACCGGAAGUCAUGAUGGGACUGGAUGCCAUGAUCUUUGUUUUUUGAAUGCUGAGUUUUAAGCCAGCUUUUUCACCCUCCUCUUUCACAUUCAUCAAAAGACUCUUUAGUUCCUCUUUGCUUUCUGCCAUAAGGGUGGUUUCAGCUGCAUAUCUGAGAUUAUUGAUAUUUCUCCCAGCAAUCUUGAUUCCAACUUGUGCUUCAUCCAGCCCAGCAUUUUGCAUGAUGUACUCUGCAUAGAAGUUAAAUAAGCAGGGUGACAAUAUACAGCACUGAUGUACUCCUUUCCCAAUUUGGAACCAGUGUUUUGUUCCAUGUCUAAUUCUAACUGUUGCUUCUUGACCUGCAUACAGAUUUUUCAGGAGGCAGGUAAGGUGGUCUGGUAUUCCCAUCUCUUUAAGAAUUUUCCACAGUUUGUUGUGAUCCACACAGAUAAACGCUUUAGUGCAGUCAAUGAAGCAGACGUUUUUUCUAGAAUUCUCUUUUUCUAUGACUCAACAGAUGUUGGCAAUUUGAUCUCUGGUUCCUCUGCCUUUUCUAAAUCCAGCUUGAACAUCUGGAAGUUCUCCGUUCAAAUACUACUGAAGCUUUGCUUGGAGGAUUUUGAGCAUUACUUUGCUAGCGUGUGACAUGAGUGCAAUUGUGCGGUACUGUGAACAUUCUUUGGCAUUGUCUUUGAGACUGGAAUGAAAAAUGACCUUUUCCAGUUCUAUGGGCAUUGCUAAGUUUUCCAAAUUUGCUGGCAUAUUGAAUGCAGCACUUUCAUAGCAUUAUCUUUAUGAUUUUAAAUAGCUCAGCUGGAAUUUUAUCACCUCCACUAGCUUGCUUUGUUAGUAGUGAUGCUUCCUAAGGCCCACUUCACUUCACAUUCCAGGAUGUCUGGCUCUAGGUGAGUGAUCAUACCAUAGUGGUUAUCUGGGUCCUUAAGAUCUUUUUUGUAUAGUUCUUCUGUGUAUUCUUGCCACCUCUUCUUAGUAUCUUCUGCUUCUGUUGGGUCCAUACCAUUUCUGUCCUUUAUUGUGCCCAUCUUUGCAUGAAAUGUUCCCUUGAUAUUUCUAAUUUUCUUGAGCUCUUAAUCUUUCCCAUUCUAUUCUUUUCCUCUAUUUCUUUGCAUUGAUCACUUAGGAAGGCUUUCUCUCUCCUUGCUAUUCUUUGGAACUCUGCAUUCAGAUGGAUAUAUCUUUCCUUUUCUCCUUUGCUUUUCACUUCUCUUCUUUUUUCAGCUAUUUGUAAGGCCUUCUCAGAAAACCAUUUUGCCUUUUUAAAUUUCUUUUUGGGUUUGGUUUUGAUCACUUCUUCCUGUACAAUGUUACACAUCUCCAUCCAGAGUUCUUCAGGCACUCUAUCUGUCAGAUCUAAUCACUUAAAUCUAUUGUCACUUCCACUGUAUAAUCGUAAGGGAUUUGAUUUAGGUCAUACCUGAAAGGUCUAGGGGCUUCCCUGGUGGCUCAUCUGGUAAAGAAUCCACCUGCAAUUCAGAAGACCUGGGUUCGAUCCCUGGGUUCGGAAGAUCUCUUGGGGAAGGGAAUGGCUACCCACUCCAGUAUUCUGGCCUGGAGAAUUCCAUGGACUGUAUAUCCAUAGGGUCACAAAGAGUCAAACAUGACUGAGCAAAUUUCACUUUCACCACUUUUUCAUCGAAUGGUCUGGUGGUUUUCCCUACUUUCUUCAGUUUAAGUCUGAAUUUGGCGAUAAGGAGCCACGGUAAGCUCCCAGUCUUGUUUUUGAUGACUGUAUAGAGAUUAGACCAGUCUACUUAUGAUGGUCAGGAAGUCAUCAGAGGCAAAUUCUGUCCACCAUGGGUAUGACUUCAUCUCAUCUUAGAAAGGAUAGUGUUGACCCAUAUAAAGGGAGCCAAGGUACUACCCAAGCAGGGAGAGAUGGGUUAGGAGGAGCACCUACUAAAAGGUAUUGGUUAGAUUUGUAUCUGAGACUGUUAGAGCCAAGUGAGGUGUGAGUUCAGAGAUAACCCCGUCACCUCAUUUUACUGAGUGAAGACAUAGAAACUCUUAAGUGAUGAUGGAACUUACCCAAGGUCACAAAGCUGGAAAUGGGCUUUCCAACUUUUGAAGAUUAAUAAAGGGCUUAUUUCCCCUCUUCCCUCCUCCUCAUCACAGGGACUCCCAGGGCAUAAGUAAAUGAGACAAGCACUUCAUUAUGACAGAUAAUUAGGACAAGUUUUAGUGGGAAAGCCAGGGAACACAAGAGACAAUAUGAAAAUUUGGGGUUCUUCCUAGUACUUUUUUGUUAAUUAGAAUUAGCAAUCACCAAAGUACCUUUAAGAGCACAUUAGGAGAAGCGAAGGAAAUAUACUGCAGGAGAGUCCCUGUCCUUGAGGAGGUCACAGUCUAGCCAGGGAGAUAAAUAUACACAUAAAAGGCGGUGAGAAGAUUACAAACAACAUGUCAACAAGUGCAAAGACAUUGAGUGUUACAAAUUAGAGACCUAAUGCACAGGGUACUGACGACAGUGGUGAGACUGGUCUGGCUUAAAGUGUCGAUCAGAAGGUAGCAACCCAUAGGCAUUGAGUUUGGCCCACUGGGAGUUAUUUUUUAUAGUAUUAAUUUGAAUCCUAGUUGAAGAGGGAAAAAAUGCUAAUAAAUGUAGAAAAAAUGACAGAACUGGAAAAACAGCAUUUUGUGAACUCUAGAAAAACUUUUGGUCCUAGCAAAGAUUAUUGAAGUGAAGUGAAGUUGUGUCCAACUCUUUGCGACCCCAUGGACUAUACAGUCCAUGGAAUUCUCCAGGCCAGAAUACAGGAGUGGGUAGCCAUUCCCUUCCCCAAGGGAUCUUCCCAACCCAGGGAUCGAACCCAGGUCUCCCACAUUGCAGGUGGAUUCUUUACCAGCUGAGCCACAGGGGAAGCCAGCAAAAAUUAUUAAUUAGUGUUUAAAACUAUAGGUGAAAAGACUGGAGACAACUGUACAUUCAUACAGCGCCAAGUAACACUAUCAGUUUAUAGUCUUGAAGCCAAAAAUGUAAGUGUAUGUUGGAGGGAUCAGACUGUCAUCACUCAUUUCCUGGAAACCAUCCUGGUAUUGCUAACCCAUAGACUAGUUCUGGUGUGAGGCAAAUACAUAGCCCAACCUAGCAUAUAUUCUCCCCACCCCAAAAGAAGUAUUAGAUAUAACCUGCAGUUUACAGGAAAUAGAGGGAGCAAACUAAUGGACACUAGGAGGUGAGGCAGUCUGCAGGGGAACUUGCCUGCUCUCUUCAGCAAGUCAGUAGAUAUAUAAUUUUAAGCCUAAACUGCUAGAUUGAAGAGACUUAAGGUUCACAAUGGGUUUCCCAGGUGGCUCAGCGGCAAAGAAUCUGCCUGCAGUGCAGGAGAUGCAGGAGACUCGGGCUGGAUCCCUGGGUCAUGAAGAUCCCCUGGAGGAGGGCAUGGCGACUCACUCCAGUAUUCUUGCCUGGAGAAUCCCAUGGGCAGAAGAGCCUGAUGGGCUAUAGUCUAUAGGGCUGCAGAGUCAGACACGACUGAAGCAACUGAGCACAUGCACAAGGCACACAAUAGCAAGAAAACACAUAGUCCUGGAUUCCCUACUGGUUUAAACAAAUUGCUACAAAAGGAAUUUGUGGUCAACUGGAAAUGUUUUAAUAUGGAGAGGGUAUUAGAUGAGGUGAAAAUGUACUGAGACGGAAAGGUCAAAAUCAUUAAUAAAAUACCAGUUCCAAAACCACAUGUGCAGGGUAAUCACAUUUUGCUUUUAAAAUGUCUACAUAUCUAAGAAUAAAAAAGACCUGAGAGGAUAUGCAGUAAGGUGUUAACGGUGGUGCUCUCUGAGAGGUGGAAAAAUGUUUUGCUGCUGUUGGCCUACAUUUUUCUAUUUUUAU